UAGUUGUGGAGUAUCUGCACCAAAUCAACCAGAAUCAUCAGGAGGGAAAUCUAGCAAAGUUGGACUUGGAGUAGGAAUCGGUAUAGCAGGUGCAGCAGCUGUCUGUAUUGGUUUGGGGUGUUGGUUAUUGCUUAUCAGACAACGCAGGAAAAGAAUUGCUGCCCAAACAAAGAGUAAAGGCCAGCCUACACCUCCUUCAAGCAAAGGCGAGCCUGCACCAAUAAUUAAUUUCUCUCAAACCACCCCUACUUAUCCCUCUUCAAAUUCUGACCUUGAAAAGGGAAGUACCUACUUUGGAACUCGGGUAUUCAGCUAUGAAGAACUUGUUGAAGCCACGGAUAAUUUCAACCCUUCGAAGGAACUUGGUGAUGGAGGCUUUGGCACUGUUUAUUAUGGUGUUCUCAACGAUGGGCGUGUGGUUGCUGUCAAGCGUCUAUUUGAGAACAAUAUGAGGCGAGCUGAGCAGUUCAUGAAUGAAAUUGAGAUCCUAACUCGUUUAAGGCACAAGAACCUUGUGUCACUGUAUGGAUGCACCUCAAAACGUAGCCGAGAAUUGAUCCUUGUCUAUGAAUAUGUUCCUAAUGGAACUGUUGCUGAUCAUCUUCAUGGAAACCGGUCCAAGUCUGGUUUGCUCUCUUGGCCUGUUCGGCUGAGCAUUGCCAUAGAGACAGCUGAUGCCCUAGCUUAUCUUCAUGCUUCAGAUGUCAUACACCGUGAUGU
This 720-nucleotide unclassified non-coding RNA is filed under the name Hevea brasiliensis (rubber tree). The record is from RNAcentral. Lineage: Eukaryota; Viridiplantae; Streptophyta; Magnoliopsida; Malpighiales; Euphorbiaceae.